UCUGGCAACCAUGGCGAAAGGGGUACACCCGUUCCCAUCCCGAACACGGCCGUUAAGCCUUUCAGCGCCGAUGGUACUGCUAUCUGCAAGGAUGUGGGAGAGUAGGUGUUGCCAGAG
This 117-nucleotide ribosomal RNA is filed under the name Elusimicrobiota bacterium. RNAcentral also lists the same sequence under 1 other name. The record is from RNAcentral. Lineage: Bacteria; Pseudomonadati; Elusimicrobiota.